UCUACCCUCUUUUCCAUUCCGCUGUGAUGACAGUACUACGAUCUUGCCAUCUUUUGCCUGUACUAAAAUAAUUUCCUAAUUGGCCUCUUGGUUUUCAUCUUAUUCUAGAUCUUCUUCCUCACUGUCCUCUGAGUGAUUUUUGAAAAUAUAAAUCGGAUCAUGUUAUUCUUUCAGUGGUUCCAUGGGCCAUCAAGGCAUUGUCAUGGUGCAAAGGGGUUUAACUGAAGAGGAUGAUGGUUGCCUGGCAUAUACAUUCCCCACCCGCUGUGUUCAAAUAGGAAGAUCUAAAGAGCCUCUUGAGGAAAGUGAAAGAGGAGAGUGAAAAAGUUGGCUUAAAGAUCA
RNAcentral lists this long non-coding RNA (342 nucleotides) under Bos grunniens (domestic yak). RNAcentral's name for it is "lncRNA (ENSBGRG00000025894.1)". Lineage: Eukaryota; Metazoa; Chordata; Mammalia; Artiodactyla; Bovidae. The record is from RNAcentral.